Molecule: ribosomal RNA, 117 nt
Filed under: Prolemur simus (greater bamboo lemur)
Lineage: Eukaryota; Metazoa; Chordata; Mammalia; Primates; Lemuridae
Source: RNAcentral
GUCUACGGCCAUACUACCCUGAAUGUGCCCGAUCUCUGAAGCUGAGCAGGGCCGGGCCUGGUUAGUACUUGGAUGGGAGACAUGCCACCAUGAUACCUAUUUAUGGUGCCUUAGCUC